Molecule: ribosomal RNA, 157 nt
Filed under: Podospora intestinacea
Lineage: Eukaryota; Fungi; Ascomycota; Sordariomycetes; Sordariales; Podosporaceae
Description: 5.8S ribosomal RNA
Rfam family: 5.8S ribosomal RNA
About the family: 5.8S ribosomal RNA (5.8S rRNA) is a component of the large subunit of the eukaryotic ribosome. It is transcribed by RNA polymerase I as part of the 45S precursor that also contains 18S and 28S rRNA.
Source: RNAcentral
UUAAAACUUUCAACAACGGAUCUCUUGGUUCUGGCAUCGAUGAAGAACGCAGCGAAAUGCGAUAAGUAAUGUGAAUUGCAGAAUUCAGUGAAUCAUCGAAUCUUUGAACGCACAUUGCGCCCGCCAGUAUUCUGGCGGGCAUGCCUGUUCGAGCGUC